This is a non-coding RNA of Acanthosepion pharaonis, 88 nucleotides long. NCBI's taxonomy places the organism in Eukaryota, Metazoa, Mollusca, Cephalopoda, Sepiida, Sepiidae. The record is from the annotation of a GenBank genome assembly.
UGGUUCCCGUAAGAUCACCGAGGUUAAGCAACAUCGAGCCAGGUUAGUACCUCGAUGAGUGACAGCUUGGGUAUAUUAGGCGCUGUAA